CCUUCCCCUUCCCCUUCCCCUUCCUGACCCUUUCUUACCCUUCCAUUGCUUAGCCUUCCCUCGUCUAAGCAGACCCUUACUUACCAUUUUGUACUCAUAACCUACUGUCAAUAACUAAAUUGACCAAAACCACAAAACAUAAACUCACCUUUUAUUCUUUUUGUUGCCUGAUUCAGGACCAGCAGACUGAACAAGUAAUAGUAGUGGGAAAAGAGGCAGCAGGGCUUUAUUUCAUAGACAAAUUGAGUUUUUUGCUUUCUACUAUUGAAUCUUGUUUGCACAAACUUCAACAAUCUUUUUCUACAUCACAUUAUGUAAAUCCCAUUCUCUCUCAGUUUGCUAUCAAUAAAGAGAGUUCACUUUGGUCCAAUUCAGUUGUUGAUACACAUUCUAACUGUGAUGUUUCUCUUAUUCAUGCUAGAUUGGGUCAUGUUUCUUUUGGAAAAAUGGUUCAUUUACCUGGCAUUUCUAUCGCACAUGAUUCACAAUUAUGUUUGUCCAUUAGCUAAAUUUCACAGGUUACCUUUCCCUGACAGUGAGACACAAACACAUUUUGCAUUUGACCUAGUUCAUGUAGAUGUUUGGGGACCUUACCAUGAAGAGUCAUUUACAGGAGCCAAAUUUUUUCUCACCAUAGUUGAUGAUUAUACUAGAGCUUCCUAGACUUUUAUGAUGCAACAAAAGGCCCAAACUACUGGAGUUAUAAGGAAGUUUUUUUCCCUUGUUAAGAACCAAUUUGGAGUCAAUGUUAAAGCCAUAAGAACUGAUAAUGGGGCUGAGUUUUUAAGUCAAUGAUGUUUUCAAUUUUUCUCUGACCAAGGUAUUUUUCAUCAACGAUCUUGUCCUUACACACCUCAACAAAAUGGUGUAGUGGAGAGGAAGCAUAGGUAUCUUCUUAAUACAGCAAGGGCAUUGAGAGUACAAGCUAAUUUUUCAAAGAAAUUUUGGUCUGAAUGUGUUUUAGCAGCUACCUACUUAAUUAACAGACUUUCUAUUCAAAAAUUACAAUGGCUUACACCUUAUGAACUUUUGUAUAAGAAACCACCAGAUUAUUCUCAUUUGAGGGUUGUAGGUUGUCUGUGUUAUGCUGCUAACAUAUAUCCCCACAGAGAUAAAUUUACUAAUAGGUCCAUCCCUUCUAUUCUUCUGGGUUACUCAGGAUAAAGUAAAGCUUAUAGGUUAUACAAUAUGCAAACUGCAGAAAUCUUCAACAGUAGAGAUGUUCUUUUUUUUUUGAGUCAGUCUUUCCUUUCAAACACGAUUCUUACAAUAAAUUUACCAAUACAUUUGAUCUCAAUUCUAUAGUUUUACCACAACCUGCUCUUGACUUUGAUUAAGUUGCUCCUUCACAAUCAUCUUCUUUAUCUUCCAGUCCAUCUCUAUCUCCUUCAGAGUCAUUUUCCCUAAGUCAAGAGCAUUAAUCUUCAUGUAAUCCUCCCCAUGUGUGUUUUGAUUCUGUUCCCCUUAGAAGAACCACUAGACAAAUUAAACAACUUGUGUGGCUCAAAGAUUUUGUCAAUAUAGCUUCUGCUGCUCCUCACACCACAGCUUGCACAAGUUCAAUUGCUUCUUCUUUGCAUCCAUAAGAUAUUCUUCCAUCCUUUACUUUUACUUCCCUUCACCAAUCCUUUAUUCACAAUGUAUCUACUAUUCAUGAGCCUACUACAUAUUCCCAAGCUUCUAAAGAUACUAACUGGAUUGAAGCUAUGCAGCAAGAAUUGAUGGCAUAGGAGAGAAAUAAUACUUGGGAAUUGACUUUGUUGCCAAUAGGAAAAAAGGCAAUUAGGUGUAAGUGGGUUUAUAAAGUCAAAUGCAAACCUAAUGGUGAAGUUGAUAGAUUUAAAGCAAGGUUAGUUGCUAAAGGCUAUAAUCAAAUAGAGGGCUUGGAUUAUAAAGACAGAUUUUCUCUAGUAGCUAAACUUGUUACUGUCAAAUUGUUUAUUGCUUUAACAACUGCCAAACAGUGGCCAAUCUAUCAAUUAGACAUUAAUAAUGCCUUUCUUCAUGGCUACUUGGAUGAGGAAGUCUACAUGCAACCUCCACUAGGAUAUGAUAAAGCUAAGCUUGGACAGGUAUGCUUGCUUAAAAGAUCUCUAUAUGGCCUUAAGCAAGCUUCUAGACAAUGGAAUCUAGAAUUUACUAGUUUCUUGAAGUCAUUGGGUUUUACACAGUCACAACAUGAUUAAUGCUUAUUCACUCGAGGUACUGCAGCUAAUUUCAUGGCUCUUUUGAUAUAUGUGGAUGAUGUUAUAACUAUUGGUACUUCUUCUGAAGCUAUAGCAGCAGUUAUGGCUGCUUUGCAUUCUAAAUUCACAAUCAAAGACCUGGGAUUUAUGAAGUAUUUUCUUGGCCUGGAAGUUGCUAGGUCAGCACAUGACACUAUAAUUAGUCAAAAGAAGUUUAUUCCUGAUGUUUUACAAGAUAUAGGGAUGUUUAAUUGUAAAGCAGUUGCUUCUCCAUUACCUGCUGGCUUACAUUUGUCCUCAGAUUCUGGUCAUCCUCUUCCUAAUCCAGAUUCUUAUAGAAGAUUAAUAGGGAGAUUAUUAUACAUUAAUAUCACCAAACCUGACAUUAGUCAUGUUGUGCAACACUUGAAUCAGUUCAUGUCUUUGCCUAGGAAACCUCAUUGGGAUGCAACCAUGCAUGUGUUGAGAUAUUUGAGAGGUUCUUCAUCCAGAGGUUUAUACUUUUCAAUGGCGAAUGACUUCAGGAUCACUGCAUAUUGUGAUGCAGAUUGGGCCUCUUGCUCCUUUACCAGAAAAUCUCUCACUGGUUUUUGUGUUUUCAUUGGCUCCUCUCUCAUUUCAUGGAAAACAAAGAAGCAAUCCACAGUUUCCAAGUCUUCAGCAGAGGCAGAGUAUAGGGCAAUGGCUUCUACAGUUUGUGAGUUGCUUUGAGUUUCCUAUAUCCUUCGUGACUUACAGAUGCCUAUUCAGUAGCCCAUCACCUUGUACUGUGAUAACAAAGCUGCACUCUAUAUAGCUGCCAAUCCAGUCUUCCAUGAGAGGACUAAACAUAUUGAAAUAGACCACCAUUUUAUCAGGGAGAGGAUUUAAUACAGCUAGAGUAUUUGAGUACCUAAGAGCAAAUAGCAGACCUGUUCACUAAAGC
This 3111-nucleotide unclassified non-coding RNA is filed under the name Hevea brasiliensis (rubber tree). Lineage: Eukaryota; Viridiplantae; Streptophyta; Magnoliopsida; Malpighiales; Euphorbiaceae. The record is from RNAcentral.